GUCAGGAUGGCCGAGCGGUCUAAGGCGCCAGACUCAAGGAUAAAACCUUCCGGUACUCACGGGAUUUCUGGUCUCCGAAUGGAGGCGUGGGUUCGAAUCCCACUUCUGACA
Molecule: transfer RNA, 111 nt
Filed under: Pleuronectes platessa (European plaice)
Lineage: Eukaryota; Metazoa; Chordata; Actinopteri; Pleuronectiformes; Pleuronectidae
Rfam family: tRNA
About the family: Transfer RNA (tRNA) molecules are approximately 80 nucleotides in length. Their secondary structure includes four short double-helical elements and three loops (D, anti-codon, and T loops). Further hydrogen bonds mediate the characteristic L-shaped molecular structure. tRNAs have two regions of fundamental functional importance: the anti-codon, which is responsible for specific mRNA codon recognition, and the 3' end, to which the tRNAs corresponding amino acid is attached (by aminoacyl-tRNA synthetases). tRNAs cope with the degeneracy of the genetic code in two manners: having more than one tRNA (with a specific anti-codon) for a particular amino acid; and 'wobble' base-pairing, i.e. permitting non-standard base-pairing at the 3rd anti-codon position.
Source: Rfam by way of RNAcentral